Molecule: ribosomal RNA, 404 nt
Filed under: Brucella melitensis
Lineage: Bacteria; Pseudomonadati; Pseudomonadota; Alphaproteobacteria; Hyphomicrobiales; Brucellaceae
Also listed under: 2 other names
Description: partial 16S ribosomal RNA
Rfam family: Bacterial small subunit ribosomal RNA
Source: RNAcentral
UGGGGAAUAUUGGACAAUGGGCGCAAGCCUGAUCCAGCCAUGCCGCGUGAGUGAUGAAGGCCCUAGGGUUGUAAAGCUCUUUCACCGGUGAAGAUAAUGACGGUAACCGGAGAAGAAGCCCCGGCUAACUUCGUGCCAGCAGCCGCGGUAAUACGAAGGGGGCUAGCGUUGUUCGGAUUUACUGGGCGUAAAGCGCACGUAGGCGGACUUUUAAGUCAGGGGUGAAAUCCCGGGGCUCAACCCCGGAACUGCCUUUGAUACUGGAAGUCUUGAGUAUGGUAGAGGUGAGUGGAAUUCCGAAUGUAGAGGUGAAAUUCGUAGAUAUUCGGAGGAACACCAGUGGCGAAGGCGGCUCACUGGACCAUUACUGACGCUGAGGUGCGAAAGCGUGGGGAGCAAACAGG